Corapipo altera (White-ruffed manakin) is the source of this 1053-nucleotide long non-coding RNA. RefSeq lists it as uncharacterized. The transcript is spliced from 3 exons. The record is from RefSeq and is a predicted model, not a curated record. NCBI's taxonomy places the organism in Eukaryota, Metazoa, Chordata, Aves, Passeriformes, Pipridae.
AGCGUGACUUUAGGGUUGGUGAAGCCCCAGGCACAUUCUGGGUACCCCUCAGGUCCAUUAUACCAACCACCAGCACUUGGAAGUUCUGCUGAAAGUCAAACUUUCAGCAGAUCCUCCUGAGGCGCUGGGGCUGCAAAUGCUUCAAGAUGAAUUGCUUGGUCACAAUGGAAAGCUGUCACUAUGCACCUCUGGACAACCAAGAGGCUGGUGGGAUGGCCUGACCUGCUCUCCAGCUCCACUGGUGGCACAGCCAUGACCUCCAGUGACCAUCAGAGACACCUCAGCAGCACUGGUGAGAGGGACAGCAGCUCCUCUGGGCCUGUCUAAUAGAUGGAUACUGCACAGAAAUGAGAGCUGGUCUGAAUUCCAGCCUCCUGAUUCCCUCCCUUCAAAGCCCUGUCUGUGCUGAAGAAUGGAGGUGGCAAAUCUUGGCCAGACCCAAAGGAGGGCAUGGAGGGGGUUUGUCGCUUAUUUUGCUGCAGAGGAGUUUGAAGUUCUCCGUUUCCUGGGUGUGCUACAGGAGCAGCAGAGUUGAGACACAGGCUUUUAAUGAAGUUUAUGUAAAUUUGGUGGUGUUUAUACUUAGCAGAACAGAUUUAGGAGUACUAAUAAAGCAGCAGAUGAGGCGUAGAAAAGAGUGAAGUUCUCCACCACUGUUAUUUUUUACCUUCCUCCCACCAUUCCCAACGAAAAGAGUCUGUUUCUGUUGCCAGUUUCUCUUCAAAACAAGUGCUUUUGAAAGCCCAUUUAUCCCCAAGUGCUGCUGAAGCAUCUCCCAAGGUGCAGUUCAGUUGUGUCCCGUUGCCUUUCUUCCAUGAGCAGCCGGGGGCAAUUCAGUCCAUGUUUGCUUUUCCCUUAAAGGGAGUGAAUUUUUCCCAACUCCACUGGUGGGUCUUUGUUCACUACCAUGGGAUCACUGAGGCAGGAAAAAGCAAAGCCAGGAUUUUCAUUAGGGGUGGUCAGAGUGAAGCUGGAGCAGCCUUUUCCUUGGGAAGAAGGUGAGGGUUCAUUCUGGGUUUGGAUGCUGAGGAAGAGCAGGAUGAGUCUCAUCCC